This 300-nucleotide signal recognition particle RNA is filed under the name Pongo abelii (Sumatran orangutan). RNAcentral describes it as "Metazoan signal recognition particle RNA (ENSPPYG00000038227.1)". It matches the Rfam family "Metazoan signal recognition particle RNA". From Rfam's summary of the family: The signal recognition particle (SRP) is a universally conserved ribonucleoprotein. It is involved in the co-translational targeting of proteins to membranes. Lineage: Eukaryota; Metazoa; Chordata; Mammalia; Primates; Hominidae. The record is from Rfam by way of RNAcentral.
GCCAGGUGUUACGGUGUGUGCCUGUAGUCCCAACUACUCGGGAGGCUGAAGAGGGAGGAUUUCUUGAGCCCAGGAGUUCUGAGCUGCAGUGUGCUAUGCUGAUCCUGUGCUAUGCACCAAGUUAGGCAUCAAUAUGGUGACCUACCGGGAGGCGGGACUAUCAGGUUGCCUCAGGAGGGGUGAAAUGGCUCAGGUCAGAAGGAGAGUAGGUCAAAACUUUCAUACUGAUCAGUAGUGGGAUUGCACUUGUGAAUAGCCACUGUACUUUAGUCUGGGAAACAUAGCAAGACCCCAUCCCUA